Molecule: non-coding RNA, 1949 nt
Organism: Phoenix dactylifera (date palm)
Lineage: Eukaryota; Viridiplantae; Streptophyta; Magnoliopsida; Arecales; Arecaceae
Source: RefSeq, a predicted model, not a curated record
CCGGCUUCUCCUGGUACCAGGAUGGUUCUUGGCAUCUAUGGAGUUUUCUUUUGUUACCGUAGCACCGUUCCUCGCUUCUUCUUCUUUUUCACAUUCUCCUUUUCUUAUUCCUAUCUCAUGCCAUCUUGUUCUUGAAAUCAAACCCCAUAUCGUCUCUCCUCUCCUCUGCUUGUCUUCUCUUCUUGAACGAUGGGCGAGGCAACUUUGGAAGGCCGUCUGUACCGUAGGCAACCAGUAUGCAGCCAUUGUUGGAUGGAGAGGUCGCAGGAGGAGAAAGGAAGGGGGAUGUUUCGGCUUUGGUCUCAUCCAUUCAAGAAUCUGAGAGAGCGUCUUUUUCUCUCUCUCUUCUUCUUCUUAGCUUUUCUUUCUCUUUGUUUCUUGAUUUUCUUCUUCAUUUUUUGUUCCCCGAAUUGGGAAAGUGGCAGCGGUUUAAGCUUUAUCUGAAGAGGCUGUAAUGAUUUCUUGACGAACGUUUUGCUGCAUUGUGAAGUAGAAGACGACUAUUUCUAACGGCAAGGCAAUCUUGGAUGGUCUGCUGCUGUUCUACGGGCAAUUUAGAUGCGGAGACUUGGUGACUAACAACACAAUACGAGAUUAAGUGACCAAAUUCUAUGUUGCUGCACCAAUCUGGUUCCGUAAGCUGGUUUCCCUGGCGUUGCUCUUCUAACGUUGCUAGCCGAGGAGUUGACCGGGAUUAAUGACAACUUUAAGUUGCUUCAUUUUUAGAGCCUCUUUUAUGCAAGAGUUUCACAGCUUAUAAAUUUUGCUGGAGACAGUAUUAAAUAAGGUACCUGGAUCAUGUUUCAUAUUGCUAUCAAGUGGUGUACAAGUGCUUCUCGAAGAAUUUCUAUACAACAUCUUCGAAUUUGAUAUGAACUCUGUCCAUUACAACUAUUCUUUGCUCUUAAAUAUCUUAGUAUUGCUUGUCUAGGGGACUUAUUCAUGAAAGCAGUUACUCACCAUACAUUUUUAUAUUCAUUUCAAGCAAAAAUAUAUUUUAUAUCCUUUUGAAAUUGAGGAUUUAUACUUAUACUUGUAUUUUUGCUAUAUAAUUUACAGAUUAGUUGGGAAAGAGUGGAAAUAAAAUGUAAACAUUGUAUUAUUUGUAAUUCGGAAGGUCAGUUGUUCUGCAGGCUACUACUGCAGCAUAUUGGAGACCGGACAAGAUUGCUGGUAGGCAGGAAAAAUGAGCCUUUUCUCUUAUUCAGCUCCACAUAAGAACACUUCUAUACUUUAACUCAAUCUCCUCUCCUUUGUCUUUUCUAACAAUGUUGGAGGAACUUUUACGGUCUGCUAGGGUUGUUUGGAUCUUUCAGAUGCAUGGAUGGGGUCUGUUAGAUGCAGGACUUGUCAGAGCCUCAAAAUCCUAUUUCACAGCUUUUUCCCUAAUCCAUGUUCAUUGGACAUGCCUAGUACUAUUAUUAUAUGUGGAAAAUAAGGUGCCUUCAAAGACUUUUGUUGAUUUUUAUUAUGAGGAUUCUGGAAGAACUUGGAUGGUUGCCUCUUCAGUGGUUAUCGUUGCAUGAAAAGAGAUGCAUGCACAUAUAAUUCUUCUUUCAUUUUUCUUAAUUCUAAUUAUUGAAAUUUUUUUGUGAAGCUUUGGUAAAUUCUUCCCAAUGGGCAAGACAAAUAUUUUUUUGGUUCUCUCUUAGCAAGUCUAUUGGAAAUGGCAAAGCAAGACUAUACUGCAAGACAUAUAAGGAGUCACAGCGCUACCGACAGCUGUCCCAUUUCUUAACCCGCUCAGUUCUCCGGUUCUCCUGAUAUCAGUGCAGUUCUUGGCGCCUAUGAAGAUUUUUUUAGUUCCUGUAGCACUCCUCCUUUCUUCUUCUUCUUCUUCUUGUUCACCUUCUCCUUGUCUUAUUCCUAUCCUGUGUAAACUUAUUUUUGAACCAAACAUAGCCUUUCUGCAGCUUAAAGUUGUCCUUGAAAUUAACCCCCAUCCCGUG